Transfer RNA from Thalassiosira oceanica, 82 nucleotides. It matches the Rfam family "tRNA". From Rfam's summary of the family: Transfer RNA (tRNA) molecules are approximately 80 nucleotides in length. Their secondary structure includes four short double-helical elements and three loops (D, anti-codon, and T loops). Lineage: Eukaryota; Bacillariophyta; Thalassiosirophyceae; Thalassiosirales; Thalassiosiraceae. The record is from Rfam.
ACGGCCGUGGCCGAGUGGUUAAGGCGGUCGACUAGAAAUCGACUGACGUUAUGUCGCACAGGUUCGAAUCCUGUCGGCCGUG